RNAcentral lists this ribosomal RNA (360 nucleotides) under Triticum aestivum (bread wheat). RNAcentral's name for it is "partial small subunit ribosomal RNA". The record is from RNAcentral. Lineage: Eukaryota; Viridiplantae; Streptophyta; Magnoliopsida; Poales; Poaceae.
AUGGAGAAACUUAAGUGGAAGCUAAGAUUGAAGGGUUUUGCGGGAGUUUCUAGCGAUGGCCUCAGUGGGGGCCUUGCGCUAUAUUGGGAUGAGAAUCUUCAAGUCACGGUUCUGGACUCGUGUGCACGGUUUAUAGACGUGCGGAUCGUUGAUAGGACAAAUGAUAGGUCUUGGAGAACAACGUAUGUGUACGGUGAACCAAGGACAGAAAAUCGGCAUCGUAUGUGGAGCUUACUUUCAAGCCUUAGAGCAAUUUCUGCAGAACCAUGGUUAGUUUGUGGGGAUUUCAAUGAGGCAAUGCGGCAACACGAGCACUUCGCAUACGCAGCGUUCCGAGACACAAAUACAACUGUUUCGUGA